UACGUAGGGUGCGAGCGUUGCCCGGAUUUAUUGGGCGUAAAGCGCGCGUAGGCGGCCCUGUAAGUCCGUUGUGAAAGUCAAAGGCUCAACCUUUGAAAGCCGAUGGAUACUGCAGGGCUAGAGUCCGGAAGAGGCGAGUGGAAUUCCUGGUGUAGCGGUGGAAUGCGCAGAUAUCAGGAGGAACACCAAUAGCGAAGGCAGCUCGCUGGGACGGUACUGACGCUAAGGCGCGAAAGCGUGGGGAGCGAACAGG
This 253-nucleotide ribosomal RNA is filed under the name uncultured bacterium. RNAcentral's name for it is "partial 16S ribosomal RNA". It matches the Rfam family "Bacterial small subunit ribosomal RNA", at positions 524 to 776 of the family's 1533-position model. The record is from RNAcentral.